This 628-nucleotide ribosomal RNA is filed under the name uncultured fungus. RNAcentral's name for it is "eukaryotic LSU rRNA". The stretch from base 224 to 366 matches the Rfam family "5.8S ribosomal RNA". Lineage: Eukaryota; Fungi. The record is from RNAcentral.
UCCGUAGGUGAACCUGCGGAAGGAUCAUUACCGAGAUGCUCGUGAUAGUGGAGCCCAACCUCCCACCCGUGUUUACUGUAAUGCUAUGCUCGUGAUAGUCGCGCCAUUCAUGGCCGCCGGGGGAUGCUCGCCCCGGGCCCGCGCCAUGCUCGUGAUCCACGAACUCUGUCUGAUCUAGUGAAAUGCUCGUAGUAUGUCGCUGAUACAGUUAAAACUUUCAACAUGCUCGUAGUGGUAGAUGACAUCGAUGAAGAACGCAGCGAAAUGCGAUAACUAGUGUGAAUUGCAGAAUUCCGUGAAUCAUCAUGGCUCGCAACAUGCUCGCUGUCCCCUGGUAUUCCGGGGGGCAUGCCUGUCCGAGCAUGCAUGCUCGCUGAUAGUGACGGCUUGUGUGUUGGGUCGUCGUAUGCUCUCCGGGGGGGACGGGCCCCAAAGGCAGCGGCGGCACCGCGUCCGAUCCUCGAGAUGCUCCGUGAUAGUGACCCGCUCUGUAAUGUCGAUGCUCGCUGUGCGAACGCAAAUCAAUCUUUUUCCAGGUUGACCUCGGAUCAGGUAGGGAUACCCGCUGAAUGCUCGUGCAUAUCAAUAAGCGGAGGAUAGUCGCUGAUGAUGUCGCUCGUAGAUAGGA